This 460-nucleotide ribosomal RNA is filed under the name uncultured bacterium. RNAcentral describes it as "partial 16S ribosomal RNA". It matches the Rfam family "Bacterial small subunit ribosomal RNA", at positions 338 to 795 of the family's 1533-position model. The record is from RNAcentral.
CCUACGGGUGGCAGCAGUGAGGAAUAUUGGUCAAUGGACGAGAGUCUGAACCAGCCAAGUAGCGUGAAGGAUGACUGCCCUCUGGGUUGUAAACUUCUUUUAUAUGGGAAUAAAAUGUUCCACGUGUGGGAUUUUGUAUGUACCAUAUGAAUAAGGAUCGGCUAACUCCGGGCCAGCAGCCGCGGUAAUACGGAGGAUCCGAGCGUUAUCCGGAUUUAUUGGGUUGAAAGGGAGCGUAGGUGGAUUGUUAAGUCAGUUGUGAAAGUUUGCGGCUCAACCGUAAAAUUGCAGUUGAAACUGGCAGUCUUGAGUACAGUAGAGGUGGGCGGAAGUCGUGGUGUAGCGGUGAAAUGCUUAGAUAUCACGAAGAACUCCGAUUGCGAAGGCAGUUCACUGGACUGCAACUGACACUGAGGCUCGAAAGUGUGGGUAUCAAACAGGAUUAGAUACCCCAGUAGUC